Molecule: long non-coding RNA, 1621 nt
Organism: Parus major (Great Tit)
Lineage: Eukaryota; Metazoa; Chordata; Aves; Passeriformes; Paridae
Source: Ensembl
AUGUUUCUAAGCCCACGUUAUGUUUUAAUGGUGAUGCUUGUAAAAACUCAAACUUCCUUUCCAAAACCCGCUUCGUUCCGUGGUUUGUUUCAUCAGGGCACAGGUCAGGGAUGGAGGACAAUUCAGCUUUGCAGCUCAGAAGGUCGAUACCCCAAUUCUGCCCCCAGCCCUGCCACUGACUCAUCCCAUGCCCUCGAUUCUUGGUGUGAGCCUGAUCUUCCAAUCUGUGAGAAAUCCCUGCUGUGCCCUCAGAGCCGCGUUCUGGGCGAAGUGUGGGAGAACAACAAGCAGCAGCUGGUGCCUUCCACUCGUGCUCCCAGAAGAAGCACAAAGACACCUUUGGAGACACUACAGGACAAAGAAUUGGGAAGAAAAGGUAAAGCUGGGGGCUGUUCCAGGAGCCCAAGUGUCACAGCUGGGCUCCCUGGGAUGGGUGAGGACGGGGGGUCCCUGGAGGAGGGAAGAGGGGCUGGCAGCUCAGGCUGCACGUGCCUGCAGAGCAGGAGGUGCUCAACUCCCACCAGGAAUCCAGUGCCUUGCCCGAACGCCUCCAUCACUAAUCUAAAAUUUGUCUGCCUUCUGCAUUUGAUCUCCUCAUUUUCCUCUUCUAUGCCUUUUUAAUGCUGUUUGUAGCCUUUUCAAUUAUGUGAUUUCCUUAUCUGUGUACCAUGGAGAAUACUGUACAAGGCUUUAUAAACAGCUCCUAAGUUUAUCUGCCUGUCAUUUGCUUUUCAUUAUGCGAGAUAACAAUCUUCCUCAUAUCUUAUAAGAAGAUAGAAUGUGAUUGUUUUGAAAUGGGGAGGGGGGAAAAAGUCUACUCUGCAUUAUCCUCAGCCCCGUAGCGUUUGGAACGUCACCAGUGUCAGCACAAUCGCCAACAUUUUUCCUUGCUGUGGUCCAGGAAGAAUUAUCUCCGUAGUUUUUUUGUGCUUGCUGCUAUCUCCUCUUUUUCUCCAUUUUAGACACAGAGAGGUUCUUAUCUGGAGCGUGGUUCUGCAGCUACAGAUUUGCCUAAAUUCAGUGUGAUGGCUCCAAACCCUUUGGUGGAGCUCGUGCACCGAGGGGAAGGGUGAGAGGCAAUUGUCAGCAGCUCGCUGGAUUAAAUACGGACAGAUAUUAUUCAUGUCAUUUGACAGUUCCUGACUUUCAGCUGUAUAAUGACAGAGCAACAGUAGGAAUUCCAGCAGCCCAGCUUCUGUCUUACUUCAAGAUAAGCUUAUCAAGCGUAGCCUGAAUCCAUCCAGCUCCUCAGCAGAUCAGAACUCGUGUCAGGCUGAACGGCCCUGCCGAUUCCUGCCUCCUCCCCUGCUCUGAUUUUUCCCAUCUCACGCUGCCUUGCAGGGUUUUUAGCAGAGCCUGUGCCUUGCCUGUGCUCAGCUCCUUGUCCAGGAGCCUCCUGGUGCCCCUGAGUGCCCCAGGAACAGGAACAGGGAAGGAAGGGACCGGGUGAUGGUCAGCCCCGGUGGGGUUUGCUCUCUUCAUCCAUUCCUUGGUCUACAAAGAGCAGCUGCUUUGUUUGGCUUCUUAAGGUGAAAAAGCCAGCCUGAGGUUUCUGCUGUGCUUUUAUCCCAGGGGUUCAGAGGGAUCUCUGAACAAUGCAGGAAUCACAGCUGUCCCUGCA